GGUGGUGCAUGGUUGUCGUCAGCUCGUGUCGUGAGAUGUUGGGUUAAGUCCCGCAACGAGCGCAACCCUUAAGCUUAGUUGCCAUCAUUAAGUUGGGCACUCUAAGUUGACUGCCGGUGACAAACCGGAGGAAGGUGGGGAUGACGUCAAAUCAUCAUGCCCCUUAUGAUUUGGGCUACACACGUGCUACAAUGGACAAUACAAAGGGCAGCGAAACCGCGAGGUCAAGCAAAUCCCAUAAAGUUGUUCUCAGUUCGGAUUGUAGUCUGCAACUCGACUACAUGAAGCUGGAAUCGCUAGUAAUCGUAGAUCAGCAUGCUACGGUGAAUACGUUCCCGGGUCUUGUACAC
This 350-nucleotide ribosomal RNA is filed under the name uncultured Staphylococcus sp. Its description in RNAcentral is "bacterial SSU rRNA". It matches the Rfam family "Bacterial small subunit ribosomal RNA", at positions 1037 to 1388 of the family's 1533-position model. The record is from RNAcentral. Lineage: Bacteria; Bacillati; Bacillota; Bacilli; Caryophanales; Staphylococcaceae.